GUCAGGAUGGCCGAGCGGUAUCAGGCGCUCCGUUCAGGUCGCAGUCUGGUUCUCAAGGCGUGGGUUCGAAUCCCACUCCUGACA
Nematostella vectensis (starlet sea anemone) is the source of this 84-nucleotide non-coding RNA. The record is from Rfam. Lineage: Eukaryota; Metazoa; Cnidaria; Anthozoa; Actiniaria; Edwardsiidae.